GGGCCAUAACUCUGCUGUUCAGAUGACAAAUGCAAUGAGAUUUCACAAUGAUGUGUCGUAUAAUGGCUGUAGAAGAUUUUGUACCAAGUUUUAUGAAAAUCAAUCCAGGUCAGAGUCUUUAUCAGAGAGAAAGAAGCAAUUACCCAUCGAAACCUGUAUCAGUGGUACUGGAAACAACUGGAUCUAGUGACAAUAUUCAAGCUCGGUGAAGGAUGGGGCUACAUGUAGAUAUGGGAGCAGAUUUCACAUUAUACAGUAAGGCUAUGAGUAGUCUCCCCUGUUAAAGAUCAACAAUGGUGGAUAUACAAUGCGGGAUGCUGUGUAGUACAUACUACGUACAUCAUUAACAGAGUUUUGACACCUGUAUACCUGUAUUUCUACCAAUCACCUCUGUAACCUUUGUUGUAAUCGUCAGACAGGUUCCCCUACAGAUUCACAAAGUUCCAAUAUUGAAUUUCCAUGACCCCUAUUCAUCCAUGACAGAAAAAGGAAUAAAGUUGACAGGACUUUCAUCACUGCCCUUUAACUGGUAGCAGUUUACGUUUAGACAGCAGAAGACAUAGCCAGUUUCAUCAAAGAUGCACCAGAUGCCUUGGCACUAUCUCCAUCACUGGUGAAAUGGUAAAUGACUAGUAGACCGUCAUCACUUAAUAUUUUUAACUCACCAAUGCAUAAUUUGAGGCCAAUCUCUUCUCAUCUCCGAUGGUGGUCUCCAGAGGAAUGGUUGCAGUGCAGUCUUCGUGUCCUGAGCCUUUCCUUCUCAGGUCUGUUGCACAUGGGUGGCUGAAGCUGGUUCAAUAUUUCCACCAAGAAGCAUACCACGCAUACCCUCUGUAGUAAUGCUGGUACCCAAGUGACCGAUAGCCAUGGCCACAUUUAGCUGUGCAGCUCUUCAUCCCCUUCCAGAUCUCCUCACCUCUUCGUAAAGCUUUUCUCAUUGACUGGUGUAGUGGCACUUCUUACAUCGGAUAAAAGGAUCCAUGCCAGGCCUCGUUUUUCCUCCUAAUGUUGGUUCCAGUCCAGUGAACCGUCACAGUCUGGAAACUUCUUUAAUUGUUCUUUAAAUGCCUGAUUCCACAAUUUAGCAGUCUUCUCUUGGUGAAGGACUUUGUAUAGUUUUGAGUUUGGGUCAUCUGACACAGCUUCCAUGUAGGAGUCUACAGGCUGGAUUUCACUUAGCCCGGGUCACAAAAUCUUCAUCUCACUGCUUCGGCUCUCGGCAGAGUCUGACAUUUAUAUAUAUUUAUACAGACAUAUAGAGACAUUUUCAUUUUCUCGUUUUGGGCAUCUUAUUUUAGGCCUACAGUAUUAAUUUUGGACUCAUGUACUAGGAAUAUAUCUUUAGCAGAAUUGUCUUUUUUAGGUCACCUGAGUCACUCAGGUGACCUAUUGCAAUCUGUUUUUGUUCGUCUUUGUGCGUUAACAUUUGAACAUUUUUAGCUUCUUCUCUGAAACCACUUAACCAAUUUCAACCAAAUUUGGCAUAUAGCAAAUAUGGGUGAAGGGGAAAAAAUAUGAAUUUCAUGGUCCCUGCCCCCCUGGGGCCUGAGGGGUGGGGCUAAAACCACCAAAAUUAAUGCAAUCUUUAAAAAUCUUCUUCUUUACUCCUGGACAUCAAGCAGUCAAACUGUUGGCAUGAUUGUAAUAAGCAUUGAGCCUCUACCAAAAUUGUGAAAUUCAUGGCCCCAGGAUCAGGGGUGCUGGUGUUAGGGUGGGUAUAUAUAGAUCAAAUAGUGAAAGUGCCUUAUUUCUUUGAGAAUCUUCUUCUCUGCUCCUGGGUAUUAAAUAAACUAACUAAGUACAUAGUUAUGAAGAGCAAGAGUGCCUCUUCCAAAAUUGUGAAUUUCAUGGUCCCAGGGUCAUGGGUGCUGGUGUUAGGGCGGGCCUCUAUUGAUUAUAUAGUGAAAAUGCAUUAUUUCUUUGAAAAUCUUCUUCUCUACUCCCUGGAUACUAAAUAAACUAUAAGUACAUAGUUAUGAUGAGCAAGAGUGCCUCUUCCAGAAUUGUGAAUUUCAUGGCCCCAGGGUCAGGGGUUCUGGUGUUAGGGCAGGGCUCUAUUCAUUGUAUAGUAAAAUUGCAUUAAUUCUUGAAAAUCUGAAAAGUACUUUCAUAGUUUUAAUGAUCAGGUAGACUUGGAAAUAAUAAAUGAAUAAAAAUGAGACAAAAAUAACAUCUCUUUUUAUAUCUUCUUCAAAGGCUAAGAGAGGCCAGUGUGAGAGUUAAUAAUAUGGGGUUAAAAAAUAGACAUUUUGUUAAUAGUCUGCAUGGUAAUAGUGAUAAAUGGGGGACAGACAGAUACUAGACCAAUUAUUUUGUUGAUGCUAAUCAUACUAUUUUUCUUGCUUUUGGGCAACAAGGCUUCAUUUAUCAGUUUAUGGAUCCUCUAAAUUGUUGUAUUGUACUCAGAUGACCGUUAAGACUGUUGGGCCUCUUGUUUAGGUGUACAUGAUGCAACUUUCUGGAUGAUGUGUAGUCUGUCAACAUCUGAAACCCACAUGUAUAGAUAAGCCUGUUUUUGUAUAAGAAUCAUGUCUAUUGUAUUGCUCAGCUUUUUGCAGGUUUUAUAUGAAUAAGUUAAAAUUUUAUUCUAUAUGUAUAGAUUUAAACUAAAGGUGCAUAGACACAGAUUUGAAGUUUAUAUUUUCUCAAAUUUUCUGUAUAAUAUCACAACUUAUAUGUUGCUAUAGCAUU
This is a long non-coding RNA of Saccostrea echinata, 2691 nucleotides long. RefSeq lists it as uncharacterized. Lineage: Eukaryota; Metazoa; Mollusca; Bivalvia; Ostreida; Ostreidae. The transcript has 8 exons. The record is from RefSeq and is a predicted model, not a curated record.